RNAcentral lists this ribosomal RNA (253 nucleotides) under uncultured bacterium. RNAcentral's name for it is "partial 16S ribosomal RNA". It matches the Rfam family "Bacterial small subunit ribosomal RNA", at positions 524 to 776 of the family's 1533-position model. The record is from RNAcentral.
UACGAAGGGGGCUAGCGUUGCUCGGAAUUACUGGGCGUAAAGGGCGCGUAGGCGGAUAUUUAAGUUGGGGGUGAAAUCCCGGGGCUCAACCUCGGAAUUGCCUUCAAAACUGGAUAUCUUGAGUUCGGGAGAGGUGAGUGGAACUCCGAGUGUAGAGGUGAAAUUCGUAGAUAUUCGGAAGAACACCCGUGGCGAAGGCGGCUCUCUGGGACGGUACUGACGCUGAGACGCGAAAGCGUGGGGAGCGAACAGG